This 464-nucleotide ribosomal RNA is filed under the name Acanthamoeba sp. IPIS1. RNAcentral's name for it is "SSU rRNA". The stretch from base 1 to 395 matches the Rfam family "Eukaryotic small subunit ribosomal RNA", at positions 740 to 1115 of the family's 1831-position model. Lineage: Eukaryota; Discosea; Longamoebia; Acanthamoebidae. The record is from RNAcentral.
GGCCCAGAUCGUUUACCGUGAAAAAAUUAGAGUGUUCAAAGCAGGCAGAUCCAAUUUUCUGCCACCGAAUNCAUUAGCAUGGGAUAAUGGAAUAGGACCCUGUCCUCCUAUUUUCAGUUGGUUUUGGCAGCGCGAGGACUAGGGUAAUGAUUAAUAGGGAUAGUUGGGGGCAUUAAUAUUUAAUUGUCAGAGGUGAAAUUCUUGGAUUUAUGAAAGAUUAACUUCUGCGAAAGCAUCUGCCAAGGAUGUUUUCAUUAAUCAAGAACGAAAGUUAGGGGAUCGAAGACGAUCAGAUACCGUCGUAGUCUUAACCAUAAACGAUGCCGACCAGCGAUUAGGAGACGUUGAAUACAAAACACCACCAUCGGCGCGGUCGUCCUUGGCGUCUCGGUCCUUCACGGGGCCGGGGCGCGGGGGCGGCUUANCCCGGUGGCACCGGUGAAUGACUCCCCUAGCUUGUGAGA